RNAcentral lists this ribosomal RNA (545 nucleotides) under Distorsio euconstricta. RNAcentral's name for it is "partial 12S ribosomal RNA". Lineage: Eukaryota; Metazoa; Mollusca; Gastropoda; Littorinimorpha; Personidae. The record is from RNAcentral.
AGAGAUCGAAUUAUAUACAUUAAGGUAAAAAGGCAGUUAAGUGAUUAUAUAAUUAGUUUAUUUAUUAUUUAUAUGAAAGUAAAAUUUGAAUAUAUAUUAAUAAUUCAAAAUAUACUAAUCAAAUUGACUCUGCGACAGCCUUGAGGGAAACUGGGAUUAGAUACCCCAUUAUUCUUGGUCUUAAAUUGAUUAAGAUUUACCAGAGUACUACGAAUUUAUAAAAUUUAAAACUCCAAGGGCUUGGCGGUGUUUUAGACCUUUCAGGGGAACUUGUCUCGUAACCGACAAUCCACGUUAUACCUAACCUUUCUUAGCAAUCAGUUUGUAUAUCGUCGUCGUCAGGUAACUUUUUAGAAUUUAGAAGUUAGCAAUCAAAAUUUAAAUUAAAUUUAAACGUCAGAUCAAGAUGCAGCUUAUAGGAAGGUGAUGAUGAGUUACAAUUAGAGAUUUAUAAAUACGGAUAAGUUAGUGAAAACUGACUUUAAAGGCGGACUUGAAAGUAAGAUGAAAUACAUAAAUGUUUUGAAUAAGGCUCUGAAACAUGC